This 500-nucleotide ribosomal RNA is filed under the name Weissella cibaria. Its description in RNAcentral is "bacterial SSU rRNA". It matches the Rfam family "Bacterial small subunit ribosomal RNA", at positions 950 to 1451 of the family's 1533-position model. The record is from RNAcentral. Lineage: Bacteria; Bacillati; Bacillota; Bacilli; Lactobacillales; Lactobacillaceae.
UUCGAAGCAACGCGAAGAACCUUACCAGGUCUUGACAUCCCUUGACAACUCCAGAGAUGGAGCGUUCCCUUCGGGGACAAGGUGACAGGUGGUGCAUGGUUGUCGUCAGCUCGUGUCGUGAGAUGUUGGGUUAAGUCCCGCAACGAGCGCAACCCUUAUUACUAGUUGCCAGCAUUUAGUUGGGCACUCUAGUGAGACUGCCGGUGACAAACCGGAGGAAGGUGGGGAUGACGUCAAAUCAUCAUGCCCCUUAUGACCUGGGCUACACACGUGCUACAAUGGCGUAUACAACGAGUUGCCAACCCGCGAGGGUGAGCUAAUCUCUUAAAGUACGUCUCAGUUCGGAUUGUAGGCUGCAACUCGCCUACAUGAAGUCGGAAUCGCUAGUAAUCGCGGAUCAGCACGCCGCGGUGAAUACGUUCCCGGGUCUUGUACACACCGCCCGUCACACCAUGAGAGUUUGUAACACCCAAAGCCGGUGGGGUAACCUUCGGGAGCCA